UACGUAGGGUGCAAGCGUUGUCCGGAAUUAUUGGGCGUAAAGAGCUCGUAGGCGGUUUGUCGCGUCUGCUGUGAAAACUCGGGGCUUAACUCCGGGCCUGCAGUGGGUACGGGCAGACUAGAGUGCGGUAGGGGAGACUGGAAUUCCUGGUGUAGCGGUGAAAUGCGCAGAUAUCAGGAGGAACACCGGUGGCGAAGGCGGGUCUCUGGGCCAAUACUGACGCUGAGGAGCGAAAGCGUGGGGAGCGAACAGG
RNAcentral lists this ribosomal RNA (253 nucleotides) under uncultured bacterium. Its description in RNAcentral is "partial 16S ribosomal RNA". It matches the Rfam family "Bacterial small subunit ribosomal RNA", at positions 524 to 776 of the family's 1533-position model. The record is from RNAcentral.